RNAcentral lists this transfer RNA (57 nucleotides) under Ovis aries (sheep). It matches the Rfam family "tRNA", at positions 8 to 63 of the family's 71-position model. From Rfam's summary of the family: Transfer RNA (tRNA) molecules are approximately 80 nucleotides in length. Their secondary structure includes four short double-helical elements and three loops (D, anti-codon, and T loops). Lineage: Eukaryota; Metazoa; Chordata; Mammalia; Artiodactyla; Bovidae. The record is from Rfam by way of RNAcentral.
UGGCUCAGAGGUUAAAGUGUCUGCCUCUAAUGCAGGAGACCCAGGUUCGAUCCCUGG